GGGUAUUGAUGAACUUAUAAAACAUAAAAAUGCUAGAGUGAUUUAUUUGGAUCCUUCAUAUGAUUGAUCUUAUUGCUUGUAUUUUAGAUUAGCUACCUAGAAACAUAAACAAAGGAUAAUCGACAAUUACAAAAGUGGGUUCAACUCCUAAAACUAAUCCUGCUGAGCUAUGUUGUUAAAUGCAUACGAGAACUGUUUACAUAAUUUAGUGAAUAAAUCGAUUUGAAUGUUAAUGCGUGUCUAAAAGAAGUAAAAUUGACACUCUUCC
RNAcentral lists this long non-coding RNA (268 nucleotides) under Brassica napus (rape). RNAcentral describes it as "long non-coding RNA (BNAP_LNC010181)". The record is from RNAcentral. Lineage: Eukaryota; Viridiplantae; Streptophyta; Magnoliopsida; Brassicales; Brassicaceae.